Brassica rapa (field mustard) is the source of this 7780-nucleotide long non-coding RNA. RefSeq lists it as uncharacterized. Lineage: Eukaryota; Viridiplantae; Streptophyta; Magnoliopsida; Brassicales; Brassicaceae. The record is from RefSeq and is a predicted model, not a curated record.
AAUUUCUUUUUGAAAAACAAAAAUUAUGUUUGAAACUAUUUUUUAUAUAUUUUUAAAGUAUUUAUAUAUAUAUUUAUUAGAAUCCUAAAUUUCACAUUUCAAAAACCAUACCCCACCCCACAACUCUAAACCCUAAGUCUAGAUUAGUUAACCCUAAGGGUAUAAUCGUCUUUUACCCUUCAUUAAAAGUGAUAGUAAAAAUGGUUAGUGUAAACAUGAAAAGUCGUACUAUAAAUGUGUUAUUUGUGACAAUUUCCCAAUAUGUAUUGUACCAAUUUAUGGCAUUAACAUAAAUGACAGAUGAUUGAUUGAAAAAAUAUACUUCAUGUGAAUAUUUUUAUUUUCAGUGUGGUUAUUAUCAAAUGUAUGAUACAUGAAGAAGCAAAUACAAGUUUAACAUUGAAAGAUUCACUGUAAAUAAUCAAAACGUUUUUGGGUUGAAAAUUUUAAAUCACAAAUAGACAGCAUAAGAAACAUAAAAACAUAGAUAAUAAUAAAAAAAUCAGUUUUAAAGGAACAGAAACAAACACAUUGCAUUAUAAUUUCCAGUUUUAAUAAUUUAAAUGAAGCGGACGAUUUAAAAAUUACACUUAAUAUAGGUUAUUUAGUCAAAGAUUUAAUUCAUACAAUUAAUUCGAUUAAACAUAUAUCCAUGACCAAAACCUAAAAUACAAAUACAAUCGUAAGGAAAUUAAUAUCUAAGUUAAUAUUAAACUGAACAAAAUUUGUCAUAAAAAUCACAUAAUAUAGAGUUUUAGUUAAUGUUCAUUUUUUUAAUAAGAGAGAUAGCACUAAUAAUUUGAAACAAUAAAUUAAAUUACUACAUGCAUACUGUAAAAUUUUUGUGUUUGAAAAUAUUAUAUUUAAAUAUUAGUAAUAUGAUAACUUUUAAAAUUAUAUACCAGUAAUCAUGUAAAUCUGAUAUUUAUAUGUAUAAAAUUAAAAAUAAUCACUCCAUGAUUGUGCGGGUUUAAGAUCUAGUUUAAAUUAAUGUAUCUGUAAUGGAUUAUUAUUAAACUUGACAGCACUUUUUUUUUGUCGUCACUUCACAGUAAAUCAAUUAGCAUACUUUGCAAAUCUUUUUUAUAGUUUUACCUCAUUUCAGAAAUACUAUUUCAUCUGUCUAUAUUAUUAAAACAAAAGUACAAAAUAGAAAUGUCUCUUAAUUUUCUAAAUUAUUUAUAUUAUAACGCCACUGAGUAAUUAUUAAACAUAUAUUUAAGUAUGAUUUAUAUUUUCCUAAUUUAAUAAAUCAUUUACUAAAUUUCCUAACCUAAAACAACUAUUUAAUGGCAUUUUGGUCAACUAAAAAACUACAUAAUUCUAACAAUUAACAUUUUUUUAUCAAAUUAAAAAUAUUAAACAUACUUAAAUUUAAAAAGAAUCAUUUAUACAAUAUAUAAUAUAUAUAUAUAUAUAUUAAUAUAUAUAUUUUUUACGUAAAUUUUCAUAUAAAUAAUAACCCAAUGUAAAUUGAUAAAUGUUGAAAAAUAAAAAUAUAUAGCCCAAUAUUUUAAACAGUAUAUAAAAAAUUUAUCAUAAAUAAUCAUAAAUUUUGAUUCAUAAAAAUAAAAAUAUAUUUGUGUCAAUGCACGGAUUACAUUCUAAAAUGUAGAUGAUAUGAUGGUUUACAAGACAAAAUAAAAUUACUCAAUGUAAAUAAUAAAUUAAUGUGUUUUAAAAUAUUUUAUUAAUCAAUUAUUUUAUAUGGAUAAAUUAUAAAAAUAUAUAUUAUUAUUUAUAAAAUUAAAUAUUAUUUAUAAAAAAUAUAAAAAACAUCCGCACGAAUCAAUGUCUAGUUUAAUUUAUUUUUGAAGUAAUUUAAUUGAAGUUAAACCAUUUUACAAGCCAACUCCUCUCAUGCCCCUAUUUGUGGUGAGCCAAUCUCCUAUGGGCUUCUCAAAUUCCUUAUACACCUCUAUUGCUUUAAUGAAAUAUGAAUAUCCGAUUUUGCUCAUUUGCAUUUUCGAAAUGAUUAAUUUAAAUCAUAAAAAAUUUGAAAUUGAAAUUUUGAAAUUUUGAAAUUUUGAAAUUUUGAAAUUUUGAAAUUUUGAAAUUUUCAUAUUUUUAAAUUUUCAAAUUUUAAAAUUUUCAAAUUUUAAAAUUUUAAAAUUAUCAUAUUAUCAAAUUUUCAAAAUUUUCCAAAUUUCGGAUACUACAUUAUACUUUAUAGUUUUACUUUGUUGUAGCGGGUUAUACUUCGUUCUACUGGGUAAUAUUGAUGUUAAGUUAUAUUGAGUACUACUGAAUGUAGUUAUACCGAGUUAUAUUUAGUUAUACUGAAUACUGCCGAGUGUAAUUAUACCAGAUUAUAAUUAGUUAUACUAAGUACUACCGAGUGUAGUUAUACCGAGUUAUACCGAUUGUACUGAGUACUACUAAGUAUUACUAGUACUACUAAUAAGUUAGUUAUACCGAGUUCGACUAAGUGAGUUCGACUAAGUUCUACUUGUUAUACUGCAUAAUAGUAAGUACUACUGGGUUAGUUAUACCAAAUUUGACUGAAUUAGUAAUACCGAGUUAUACUGGAUCCAGAUCUGAAGAAAAUAAAUAAAAAACACGAAACAUACUUUGCAAAGGGAAAAAAGAACAAUAAAAUCCCAAAAUUAAAACUCAGAUCUAUAGAGAACAAGAAGAACCCUAAUCAUACAAAAUCCAGAAUCUUAAUUUACAACCCUAAAUCGAAAAAACCUCAGAAUCUCUCAUAAAAUCAGGUUGAGCCAUCGCCGUUCUUGAUAUCUUCUGCUCGGUAUCUAUGAAAAAGUGAAGGUUUUGUUCGGUAUCCAUGGAGGGACAAUAGGUUAUGAAAAAGAAGAAGGAAGAGAAGUGAUUUUCGCAUAGAAGAACAAGAAAAACGCAGAGAAAAGAAAGAGAAGGACCAAAAGAAAAAAGAGGAGAUAAGAAAAUGAAAAGAAAAACUGUCGGUGGCUUUAUAUUAUUAAAUUAGAUCAAUACUAUUAAAUUAGGAACAUGACCUAUUGAUAUAUGUGUAGUCCAACUAUCUAACUUUUUAUUUAAAAGCCCUCUUAUCAUUUUACUAUUAAUCUCCAUCUUAAUUCCAUGAUUCUAGGGACCCAUUUCUCUCAAUUAACUAACACGGUCGACAGUUUCAUUUUAAUUUCUGUUAUAAAUCCAUUGGUGGAUGUCCAUAACCGGCCCAAACCCUAGAAGAGAGAGACGGCCGACUUUGGAGAGAGAGAGAGAGGCGGCUACUAGAUUAGGAGAAAAGAAAACUUUAUUUCAUUUUCCUUAUAUUUGUAUCCUAAAUCUAGAUGUAUUAAGAUUUGUAUACUUUCCAUUUAUCUCUAUCUUGUAAUCCUUAUAUAAAGGAACCUCCAUUGAUCAUUAAUAAUACACAGAAACAUUCAGUUCUCAAACCUUCUAUUUACAACACGUUAUCAGCACGAUAGCCUCUAACACCUUGAGCUUAAAACCAAACCCCUAAAACGCUAAACGAAAGGAAUCUACCUCGGAACUUCAAAGAGGUCGUUCUCCCAAACCGUUAGGACCCAGAAAACGAUCAAGAUAUCAAAUCGAAGCUCUUGCCAAGACGAAUCAGUCAGUGCAACCGUUUGUCGAUCUGACCACCGACGCGCCGUCACGCACCGAUACAGUGCGUGCCAAUUUGCUUUAGAACCCUAAUCCGAACCCGACGAACCCUAAUCUGUUCUUACAAGUGUUCCAGCUCGUGUUCAUCCGAUCAGCCCCAGCCCUAAGGGGUUCUGAUACUAGACGAACUCAGCCUCAGCUCCAUCCGUUCUCAGCUUGCAUCCCGGACAGCUACAGCUUGCGUCCCGUCCAGCUCGAGGUUCUCUUGGUGGUCCGGUACUACAAUCUUCAAAACCUAAAGGUAAUUCGAAUUCUGAAAACAUGAAUCGAAUCUGGUUGUUUUGUAAAGAUUAAAACCCUAAAAUAUAAUCUCUAAAACUAAAGCAAUAGGAUAAUAGAUCAAUCCCCUAUGAGUAAAUCGAAGCUCUAUAGGUUCGAUCUAAACCCUAAAACGAGAUUGAUCCAUUGAUCAAAUAAAAUCAGAACUUUAAAGGUUUUGAAUCUCAAAUCAAAUCCCUUUGAUCAAAGAUCAAAGUUUUCGAAAUCCCUAAAACCCUAAUUCGAAAACUAUUAAAACUUAUUGAUUGAUUGAGAUUGAAAUUGAUCACCUUGAAAUCAAAAUUAUUUGAUUAAUAAAAUCGAAACCCUAAAACCCUAAAUUAAAAAUCGAUUUUGAUUAUUUGAAAUUGAAUGGUAUUUGAUUGAUUGAUCUCCUAGAACUAUGAUUAGGAUUGUUUAAACUUGAAUCUUGAAUAUGAAUUAAUUGGCUUGUUUAAAUCAAAACGCUAAUGAUCUGAUUGUUUAAAAUCGAAAUCUGAAACUAUAUCAUUAGGAUAAACUGUUCUAGACAUAAUCAUACUUGUGGCCGUGUGGCCUUGUUGCAUUCAUACCUAAACCUAAUCACAUUAAUUGAUUGCAAUUGCACUUAGAAUCUCAUGUUAGGAAGGUAUUGAAAUUGAAAUUGAAAUCAAGUAUGAUUGUUCUUUGCUUGGCCGAUUAGCUUGCUUGUGUUGAGUACAUUGUAUAAACUGAUAGAAUGCAUCUAUGCUAGGAUUGCAAUUACACAACAAACUAUAUGCAUUGAUCCUGAAUUGAAUCAUUAGCCGUGUGGCUUGUUUUCCUGUUUUGGCCGUGUGACUUCCUCAUGACAUGUGGCUUCUUCUUGGCCGUGAGGCAUAAACCUUAGUCAUAAGGUUUGCUUGCUUGAUUGAUUCUAUUGAUUGUGAGUUAAGUCAGCUAGAUUGAUUGCAUAUUGAAUCUGAAGCCCUAAAUCUCGAAUUUGAAUCCCUAAGGUCCUCGAAACCCUAAAUCGCAUGAUAUUGAUCCAAAUUGAGUUUAGGUUUGAUUCUUGUUAUUUUGACUGAUCUAAUUGAUAUCUUGAAAGCUAAGGUGCUAGAUUAUUUUGAUUCUUAUAAAAUCGGAAACCCUAGCCACAUUUUGUAUUGCUAAGAUGAUAAACCCUAAUUGGAUCAACAUAGAUUGUUUGGAUCAUGGCUUGGCCGCGUGGCCUUUAUUGCACCUUACUAUCAUAGCCGUCUGGCUUGCAUACAUCAUAUCACCUUGAUCAUAUAUAGAAUCCGAAAGCUAGGAUCGUAUGCAUCAUAUAUCUAUCUAGCCGUGUGGCCUCUUUGCUUGCAUCAUGACUGUAUGGUCAUGUGGCCUUGAUUGUAUUGCAUUAAACCCUAUAGCCGUGUGGCUUGUUUAUUAGGAAUGCAUUAACUCGAUUGUUUGCUUGGUAACACGAUUUAUUUUCUUAUAAAGAUUGAGUGAUAUAUGAUUACAGUUGUCAAAAAUCAGCAAUCUAGAUUAUGCUACCCUAAAUCUCUUUGGAGGUAAUUAUUUACAAUGGGCAUUAGACACAGAGAUUGUCCUGAAAUCAAAGGGCCUCUGUGAAUGUAUCAUCGAGGACAAUAAUGCAAGUGAAAGUAAUAGAAACAGGGAAAUAAUGAUUACUUGCCAACCCCAAGCCAAUGAGGCUGCAGAAGAAAAAAAAUCUAAAGAAAGCAACCACGUCCAUCAUGAUAAACCAUACGGCUGUAACCGUGAUGGAUGGAAAGGACGUGGGCAUAGCCAAACUACCUUAUACGACCAUUGACAUGGGAAUCACUAUAACCAUGGUUGUGGACCCAGUUUUGGCCAUGGUUAAGGGAGAGGAGGCCGUGGCAUUUCUAAGCCACCACACUCGACCAAGUCAGUGUGCCAUAAGAAAUGUAAUGGGGAAUCAUUAGGCUAAAACAUCUGAUUGACUAAAAGAAUAAUGUUGAUUUUGACUUCUGUGUUUGCUUUGCUUUAUGUUUGUGAUUUUCUUGAAUUAAGAACUUAUAUUAUAAGAUGAAUGAAUGAUUUUAGAUAUGACUCAGAAAAUGCCAAUAUAGAAGACAAUGUUGCGGGUAUAGUCAGUCAGAUAAGGGCCUGCGACCAGUAAAGAAUUGCCGAAAGGGCUACAGCUAGACUAAGUACAUUGGCGCCUAAAGAGGCUAGGAACAUUGGUGCCUAAAGAAAAAGCACACAGGCUUGAAAGAUCUAAUGCUCUAUAUCCACCCAUAGAAGCCCAUUGAGUUUAUAAGAUAUAUGAUAUAAGAAUGGUUUCCAUAUAGAAACAAUGGGCAAAGGAAACAAAGAGUGGUCAAAACUAUACAUGCAUUCUCUACUGAUCUAGACUAUGCAAAGAUCAGUAUGAUAAGAGGCAAAAGCCAUGGUAACCACAAUGGUUUACCCAUGAAAUUAUACACUUUAUGGCAUGACCGGAUUAGCCAUCCUACUCUAAACUUGAUGCAAAGAUUGAUAUUAAAAGGGCACACAGAGUUAUCCCAUAGUAUCUCACGUUGUGUAACAUGUACACAAGGGAAAAUCAUUAGGCGAUAAUGUCCCAAGCAUCUGCAGAUUAUAGUAUGAUCAUGAGGGGGAGUGAGGACAAAACCCGUGGUCCAUGACCAUACUAUAAACACAGAUAUAACAGCUUGAUAACAGCUUGGCCAUACAGGAUAUUACCUAUAAGGUUCAGACUCUAAAGUCUAUAAGCUUGGGAACAUCACGAGUUUUACAUGUAUAUAAAGUUAAGCUGCAUCAGGCCAUAUAAGUGAGCAUAGAUAUUCCCAUCUCAAAUUGAAUUCGGGUCAUGAGCCAGACAUAUACCAUCUUAAGAGACUUUGAAAUAACCACCACAGACAUAUAUGUGCCGUCUAAGAUGGAACCUCAGAAGAGGAUUGGGAAUAUAUGUUGGAUAAAAGUAUGACUUUCUCCCACGAGUUUUAAGAGACCUUGAGCCAAAUAUGGGUGAUCAGAUUGAGGCCAGGUACCCGGAUUGCAUGAGUCAAUAAAUCCGACUAUCCAACAUUAGAAGGAGAAAGUAAUAAGCUGGUAAAGAAUGAUAAAAAAGAAAAGAAUGACUAAGUCAUAACCAGCUUAGCACCAAACGAAAUCUGAUGUCCUAGAGACACAAUCAAGUUGCUACAGAGUCUAUACAAGAUAGACCAAAGUGUUCCAUAAGAUAAGGAACCUCGGAAAGAAAAUAUGCAUAGAAAGAUAAGACAAAUCCGAGGUCAUAAGGAAACCAGACCAGACAUUGAGAUAAGGCUGCGCAGCUGAACAUCUAAGGUACCAAACCAUUUAGCUUGGGACGCCAAGCUGCUAGGUAAUAAAGGUCCUGGAUAAUAAGAUCUCAAAUCGAUUAGAUCAUGUCUGGAACAAAAUGGAACCACACAUAUAUAUAUAUAUAUAUAUAUAUAUAUACAUAAGUGUUGACACAUAAAAGAUAUAUUUGUAUAAAGAUACAUAAGAAAGUAGGACUUGAGUUUAAAGAUAUAAGCGAGGAUCAUGAGCCCACGAAAGAGUACUUAUAAAGAUUAAAGAAAAGAUAAACGUGGGGUUUAAAGUAUCUAUAGAAGAGAUAGGCGUAUUGGCCAUAGAAACGCCAUCUGAUAUAAACCAGUGAAAUAGAUGGGUCUUGUGAGGGAAAAGAAACCGUGAGAUAUGAUACAUGAUCACGUGGUCUAAAGGUGUUCAUGUUUCCUACUAACAGCAUUAGAUCAUAGCUUGUUACACAAGGAUACUCACAGAGACCAUGGAACAGAUUAUAUGGAGAUAAACUCCUAUGUGGUGGGUGCUGCUGCAUAUUUUUGAAAUUGACAAAGGUCUGGUCAUAAGAAAGAAAUUAGAUUGACAUAUAAUGAUGUAGUAAGCAGCAUAUGGAUCACUGGAUAAAGAACAUCAUUGUUCCUAAGCUGUUCAU